Pongo abelii (Sumatran orangutan) is the source of this 148-nucleotide unclassified non-coding RNA. It matches the Rfam family "Metazoan signal recognition particle RNA". From Rfam's summary of the family: The signal recognition particle (SRP) is a universally conserved ribonucleoprotein. It is involved in the co-translational targeting of proteins to membranes. The eukaryotic SRP consists of a 300-nucleotide 7S RNA and six proteins: SRPs 72, 68, 54, 19, 14, and 9. The record is from Ensembl. Lineage: Eukaryota; Metazoa; Chordata; Mammalia; Primates; Hominidae.
GCUGGGUGUGGUGGCGCACACCUGUAGUCCCAGCUACUCGGGAGGCUGAGGCAGGAGAAUUGCUUGAACCCAGGAGGUGGAGGUUGCAGUGAGGCAAGAUCACACCACUGCACUCCAGCCUAGGCAACACAGCGAGACUCUGUCUCCA